Molecule: long non-coding RNA, 4198 nt
Filed under: Lathyrus oleraceus (garden pea)
Lineage: Eukaryota; Viridiplantae; Streptophyta; Magnoliopsida; Fabales; Fabaceae
Description: Pisum sativum (pea) long non-coding RNA (PSAT_LNC035718)
Source: RNAcentral
UGGAUUGGAUGGAUUUUCUCUAAAUGGAUCCAAUUGCCACUCCUAAUUGAAAAUAGAGUAAAGGUGACAAGAAAAAUAUAAAGUAAUAAAUGUCACACAAACAAAUAAGGUCUUUUCCCAUUAGGGAGUAAGUAACAGGGUCAAAUGUUGUCAUGACGACCAAGCAUUGUCUAAACACAAAUCAUGUAAGCCUAACAUUAAUAAUGGUUGGGGACUUUAGCCUACAAAUCUUCUUGGUCUAUCAUUACUUGUAACUGUUAGAAUACCCUCUAUCCUUACCCGGGGUUAUAUACAUACUCACACUCACAUCACACAUACACAAACCAUUUACAGUGAUUAUUAUACUACCAUCUUUGCCACAGUAGGAGCUAUCCUGAUUUUCUCUCUAAUGCAUUCGUUCUUAAUCCUAUGUAGUGUUGUAUGUGGAAUAAUCGGCCCUAUUAUUCUUAUCUCUAUGAUAUUGAACAGGUGAAGAAUGCUUACUGCCAUCUUAAUAUGCUCAAUUGUUUAUUCACUGAGAUUAAAAAAUCAUUGUAAAUAGCUUGAAAAUGAAAAUCAGCAAUAAAAAAGGGAAGCAAUGCCUUUGCCACAUCAAUUGACCGUAAAGAAAUCUGUUAGGCUGCAAAUUAAGAAGUAUGCAACCCAACACAAUUGCAAUUGCGCGCUGUGCAUGUGUGUUGGGAGGAAGAGUUUGCAAAAAAAGAUCAAACAAUAAAAGAGCACAGUACGGCUGGCAAAGCUAUGUGAAUAUAGGGAAUAUUAAAACCAUUAAAAUAGCCAGUAGUAAAGCACCAUGAAAAGAAGGGGAGAAAAAAAGAACACGAAAAAAAACGUAAGAAUCAAUAUUUGAAUGGACCAAGUUAGAAGCUAAGUAUUUCACAUGGUUAGGUGGGUACUUCUCAAUUGCAUAACUGUUUAACUCGCUAGGUGAACUGCAUAACCAUGAGGCAAGAUUAAAAUCCACAAGUUUGAAACAGAACAGCAAUACUAAUAACAUCCUCCCUUAUAUAUGAUUUACAGGCCUAAACAUAAAAAAGAACAGUAGAUCCAGACACGCACUAUUUAGUAAUUAAACACCAAGUACCAGAGCUAAAAACAUAUUAUAGAAACCAAAAGUGUGUAUGUGUGUGUCAAUAGGCUUAGCAAUCACAUACCUUCUCAAUGUUAUCCAUCAUUACACCCUUGACCUCAGUUAUUUGAGCCUUCAAUUUUGAUAGUUUACUCAUUUCUUCAGGAUGGGUCAAACAAUACUGCAUAUGCCCCUUAAGACUUGGCCUGUACAACAACAUCAAAAUCCUAUAAAACAAACAACUAAAAAGCGAACAAAAACUUACAAAGGGAUCAAGCAUAAACCAACCCAAAUUCUCUGUCAAGAUUAUAUGCAAUGCUAAACCUAUCUUCAAACAAAUCAUCGUCCUCGUCAUCAUCAGCAAGUGGAUGGUCACUUCCAUUCGUAAUACUAGAACCAUAACGCUGUUUAAAAUCAUCCUUCACCCGUUCCAGAAAUACAAAAGGAACACUCCUUCCAAUCGAUUCAUCAGCAACAACAAGGAAAACUGCACAUCAUACAUUAUCCCAUGUAAUGUAACAGUCAAAACAGCAAAUAAUACAUAAAAAAGAAGCAAAAAGAGUAAAAACUAACCAAAUCCAUUGUCUAAGAGGAAAUUAAAGGUGUGACCAUCACACGAAUACGUGUAUUUGGUGCUAUUUGAAGGAAGCUUAUUCAAACACUGAACAGCAAUGGUACUGAAAUUUCCUGUAUACUGAGUGUGCUCUGCUAAAACAACAGUUCCUUUGGCAACAAAGCUAUAUAUCAAACCCCUUUGACUCAUCUCCAAUUUCCACAACAACAACAAAAAAAAACUACACAGCCAGAAGAUACACCACAAUCACCACAACAACCUAAUCAAUCUGUAAAUAACAAAAUCAAUCAAAAAAAAUCCACCAAAAAAAGUCAAAUUACAACAAUCGAUAACCCUAAUUGAAGUCAGAAACUAAACCUAAAACGAUUCCAAAGGAGGUUUACGAAUCUAGGUGAAAUUGGAUUGUUAAAAUUCAAAUUGAGGAAAGAGAAGAAGAAAGAAGAACCUGAAGUGGAACGAGAUCGAGAAUCGGUGGUUUGAUUCGUUGCGAAAGAUGAAUUUGAUCGAAGAAGAAGAAGAAAAAGAUAGGAAGGUGAAGGUAUUAAUAACGACAGCGUUUUCAGUUUGAUCAGUUACGUGAAGCUACGUGGUAGAAGAGGUUUGUGUAAUUAUUGAUUAAUUAACACUUAAGUAACCAAUAAACCCAAACUGAUAAGUAUUGGUACUUCUUACUAUUAAAAGAUUUAGAUUAAAAUGUUCAAUUUUAUAUUUUUAUUUUGUAUUAUAGUAUCAUUUUAUUUGUAAAAAAAUAAUAAUAAUAAUAUAGUUAUAUUAUUUUAAUUAAAAGAGGUUACUUCUGAUAUUUUUUAUAAAUAGUACGAUUUUAUAUUUAAUUUUAGAUAUUUGAACUUGAGAUGAGAUUUUUUAUCAUCUAAAUUAAUGUCAACUUUAAAGGAAAUGGAUACAAAAGAUGACUCAUAAGACUCAUAAGAGUAAUAAAAAAUUUAGAAGUCUUUAGUAUGGGAAUUUUAUCAACUAAGAAAAUUUAUAAAUAAUCUAAAAAAAUUAUGAAGAAUAAAUAAAUUUAUAUUAUUUAUACAGAAGUUGAACUUGGUUAAAUAAUUUGCAUGGUAAGGAGAAUGUUUAUGGUAAAAAGAAUAACAUUUAUCUUUUUAAUAGAUUAUGAGUGUUUCAAAAAGGUGUGAAAUGGAAUUGAAGGGUGAGAAUUUCUUGUGUCUUAUCUAAUUACAUUUUAAUUCAUGUUCUUCAAUUUUGUGACAUUGUUAGACGAGCAAAAAGAUGACAGAUGAUAUAUAUGUUUCUCACCUCAAUCUUCUUUUACCACCCUUGAAUUCCUUAAAAAAAAUGGUCACACGAUUGAUCAUAUGACUCGAAACUUUAUUUGGAAGGUUACUUCCACCACUGAAAUUGCACGCCCAAAGAAGUUUGGUGGUUUAGAGUUCGAUCAACUAAAUAUCAAAAUGGUCCUCCUCGGUAAGUUGAUUUGGGAUAUGCUUCAAAAUACUUAUAAAUUUUGGGUGUGUCUCUUAUCUCAUAAGUAUUUGUCUGCGGCCUCUAUACUCCCCCUUUAUGCCAAUACGGGUACCUCCAUUUAAAAAUCAAUUAUUAUAUCAAAGAAUAUGUUAAAAGAUGGAUAUGACUUGAGGCAUAGGUCAAACUCAUCAUCCUUCUAGUAUAGCCAUUUGACUUCUUUUGGCCCCUUGGUUGAUUUUGUUGACUAUGUGCGUAUACAUGACCUUAAUUACCUCAACAUACACCACUUGUACACCCAAUUACCUCGGCAUAUCAUCGUUGAGCUCACUACCAAAAGUCUUUGCUUCAAUCCUAAUGUAUAAGAUGCUUUCAUUUGGUAUGAUCAUAUAAGUGUUACUUACAUAACUAAGAGUGACUAUUCUUAUAUCCUUCGCAACAAAGAAGAUUUACAUGACCCCAACACGAAAACUCAAUAUUGACAUUGGAUCUAAAAACUCUUCUUUUUUGCCUUGUUUGUCACUGCUUUGUUCCCACACACACUCUCUCUUCUUCAUUGGCGCAAUAUAGUCUAAUCAGCCAUGUGUUUUAGAUUUGGCCUAUAUGAUGAACAUUUCCUUCAUUGUGUUUGUGACUAUAAGAAUUUUAGAAAUCUUUAAUUGUACCUUGAGUUUAAUCUUCUAUAACUUUUCUUGACUUGAGAUAAAAAUAUUUGGAUAAAUAAUGAGAUUCAUAAUAUCGUCAUAAACUAUUUACCGCAAGACGUUGGUGGGCUUUAAGAUGUUGUAACUCCACUUCAUGGUGGACUCCUUUCGCGCAUGCUCUAGUAAAACUCAAACAUAGCAAACAAACAACUGAUUCAUCCAGUGAAAUUCUCGCCACUUCUGUUACAUAAUAUUAAUGUUGAUGGAAGUUGUAAUGACACACCAAUCCAUAAUUACUUUGAUGGUACCUUUCGCACCUCUUCUAGGAUUUAAAAUUAUAACUUCCUUAGUUUCAUAUCAAACUCUUUAAAUAUUCUCCAGACAGAAUUUUGAAUAAUUCAUAAAGGAUUCUCAUUAGUCAAAUGUGUGGGAAUUAUUGACUUGACAUGCUACAGAGACUCUUGUCUCAGUAUCAUCAAC